RNAcentral lists this ribosomal RNA (530 nucleotides) under Pediococcus acidilactici. RNAcentral's name for it is "bacterial SSU rRNA". It matches the Rfam family "Bacterial small subunit ribosomal RNA", at positions 8 to 493 of the family's 1533-position model. The record is from RNAcentral. Lineage: Bacteria; Bacillati; Bacillota; Bacilli; Lactobacillales; Lactobacillaceae.
AGAGUUUGAUCCUGGCUCAGGAUGAACGCUGGCGGCGUGCCUAAUACAUGCAAGUCGAACGAACUUCCGUUAAUUGAUCAGGACGUGCUUGCACUGAAUGAGAUUUUAACACGAAGUGAGUGGCGGACGGGUGAGUAACACGUGGGUAACCUGCCCAGAAGCAGGGGAUAACACCUGGAAACAGAUGCUAAUACCGUAUAACAGAGAAAACCGCCUGGUUUUCUUUUAAAAGAUGGCUCUGCUAUCACUUCUGGAUGGACCCGCGGCGCAUUAGCUAGUUGGUGAGGUAACGGCUCACCAAGGCGAUGAUGCGUAGCCGACCUGAGAGGGUAAUCGGCCACAUUGGGACUGAGACACGGCCCAGACUCCUACGGGAGGCAGCAGUAGGGAAUCUUCCACAAUGGACGCAAGUCUGAUGGAGCAACGCCGCGUGAGUGAAAAAGGGUUUCGGCUCGUAAAGCUCUGUUGUUAAAGAAGAACGUGGGUGAGAGUAACUGUUCACCCAGUGACGGUAUUUAACCAGAAAGCCA